CCUACGGGUGGCAGCAGUGGGGGAUAUUGCACAAUGGGGGAAACCCUGAUGCAGCGACGCCGCGUGAGUGCAGAAGUAUUUCGGUAUGUAAAGCUCUAUCAGCAGGGAAGAAAAUGACAGUACCUGACCAAGAAGCCCCGGAUAACUAAGUGACAGAAGCCGCGGUAAUACGUAGGGGGCAAGCGUUAUCCGGAUUUACUGGGUGUAAAGGGAGCGUAGACGGCUAUUUAAGUUUGGAGUGAAAGACCGGGGCCCAACCCCGGGACUGAUUUGGAAAAUGUGUAACCGGAGUACAGGAGGGGCAGGCGGAAUUCCUGGUGUAGCGGUGAAAUGCGUAGAUAUCAGGAGGAACACCGGCGGCGAAGGCGGCCUGCUGGACUGAAACUGACGUUGAGGCUCGAAAGCGUGGGGAGCAAACAGGAUUAGAUACCCCUGUAGUC
This 440-nucleotide ribosomal RNA is filed under the name uncultured bacterium. RNAcentral's name for it is "partial 16S ribosomal RNA". It matches the Rfam family "Bacterial small subunit ribosomal RNA", at positions 338 to 795 of the family's 1533-position model. The record is from RNAcentral.